Molecule: long non-coding RNA, 934 nt
Organism: Cygnus olor (mute swan)
Lineage: Eukaryota; Metazoa; Chordata; Aves; Anseriformes; Anatidae
Exons: 3
Source: RefSeq, a predicted model, not a curated record
AAAAAAAAAAGAACCAAGAGGAAUACUGCAUUGCUCUGAUCACCCAGACACAUCUCUGAUACAUACCGAAAGCCUAGAGAAGAACAGGAGCCCUCUUCUUUCUUUAGUGCUUAUUAUGUGACAUUGAUUCUGCUGAGCUAUGAGCAAACGCACCUCAUGUAGCUAUUGAAAUCAGACACCUGGAACUGCCAGUUUAAAGAAAGAAAAAAAUACCAUGAUGCCUGCUCCUGCCUCCUGGUUCCCACUGUCAAAGGAUCCCAGACUGUCACCACAGAGAGGGCAUUCACGAACCAUUUCUGUGUGCUAUGAAAAACAGCUCUUAGUUAAGAAGAGGAAAGGAAAUCUGUAGAAGAAGCUGAUGAUGUGAACGCUCCUUUUAUAAUCCUCAUUUUGCUCCUGCCCUUUCUCCCACCAUGCAGACAGGAGGAGGGAGAAGCCAGGACAGAGGCCGUGAGAUACUGAGGGCUCAAGCUGCCUGCCAACACUUAGGUCCAUGUGGUUCCGUCCAUCAGACUGAGCACCUGGCGCAUAAGACCUUGGAGCACGACUUCCACAUUUGCACCAUUUGAGAAGCUUUUGAAGCACUACUUGUGACCAAAGCCUCUGAUGCCCCGGUUUUACUUUUCUUACCCGACCUUCUUUGAGACAGCAACGUGGGCAGCACUGCACGAAGGACCCCGGAGCCGGCACGCUCCUACCCCCUGGAACCGCUCCUGCAGGACGCUGGGGAUGUCGAAGCAGAAGUAGGAGCCGAACGAAGGUCAGGAGGCAGUUGAAGAAAAGCACCACGAACCUGUAGCACGCUGAGCCCAGAGACGAGGCGCCUCGCCGCCGCUCCCAGACCGCCGCCGCCCGGCCCCACGGCCGCUGCUCGGCUCCGGGACGCAGCGGGGCCGGGGCCGGGGCCGGGGCCGGGGCCGGGGCCGGGGCCGGG